RNAcentral lists this long non-coding RNA (1318 nucleotides) under Equus asinus (donkey). RNAcentral describes it as "lncRNA (ENSEASG00005024793.1)". The record is from RNAcentral. Lineage: Eukaryota; Metazoa; Chordata; Mammalia; Perissodactyla; Equidae.
CAGUCAAUGUUUAUUGUUCUUCUGAAUUGGACACAUCCACGAUGUGGGAGUUCUUUUUCACAAAGGCAGCUUGCAUUAGAAACUUCCAGAUAAAUGCAGAAGAAUCUCCUGACCACUGAAAAGACAAAUGAGGAAAUUCCCCCUACGGUGCACGUUCCCUCAAACAUACAACUACAGUACAACAAGAUAACGACUUUAGCGCCUCUGCUUUGAAAAACCAGUCAGGAGCAGCAGGAUGGAUUCAUGGAAAAGACUCUGACACUUAACUCUGGGACACAGUUUUCUGAUAAACUUUCAGAUCAUAGAACUGAACUCUGGGUAAGAAAUUACAGAAAUCUAAUGGAAAAACUGAUGACCCCAUAAAACUGCUAACAGAAGAUUACGAUCAAGAACUGAUUAUACAGGACUGAAUGAACUGAGGAUUAUAAUUUUUAUGACUUUUAUUUGAAACAUUGUUGAUUUUUGAUGUUUUGCUUUGUUUUCUCAGAUUCAAGAAAAUCUUUUUCUCUUUUCUCUUGUGCUAUGACUUAGCAAUUUGGUGAAAUUAUACCUUUGUGAGCAAAGAUGAAACAUUUGUCUUUUUCUCCCUAUCUGAUCCCUCCAGAAUAUGGAAACUCUUUGUGAGUAUGGUUAUUUCAUGGCAAUAUAGUUAUUUGCAUAAGUUCAAUAAGAAUUUGGUCUCCUUAUAACAGGACACAUUGGUUAUCUUACCAAGGCUUUCACUGGAAUGUCAUAUUUGAGAGAAAUAUACAGGCUCAGAUAUGACAACACAGCUUUUCAGGAACAAAGAUUGGACUUUCUGGAACUAAAGGCACUUGGAAAUAUGGGCCUGGUACCUUGUUUACAGAGAUUCUGGCAAUCUUACCCGGUAAGUAAGGAAGCUUGCUUGUCUGGCAGGUGCAAGGAACCUCAAAAUGUUUUGGGGGACCUCGAGAAGAGAGGAGUCCACCCAAAUCUGGAGGUACUGCAGGCAAAAUCUGAUGGCAAGUCCUUGGCUUGGCUUUUCUGGCCUCAAGAGGCCCUUACAGUUCAAUCUGAGAUUCCUCAUAAAAAAAAAAUUCCAGCAAAGCAGAUUUAAAAAAGCCUGUAUAAUCAAUUGGUAUUCUUGCUGCACUUAUGUAAAUAAUUGGCAGACCAGUUAAUCUUAAUUUGGCUAUCUUUUAUAAAAAUGAGGGUGAUUUUAGAGAGAAAAAAUUAUGUUUCAGUAGAAGGUAUAGUACGCAUUCAUGGAUAUUAGACUCUAGCUCUUCUCUUCUGCAAGAUUCAUCUGUUACUAAUCAUAAUGUCUCCUUGUGGCCAUCCAUCUCUGAUACCUGGG